Molecule: ribosomal RNA, 433 nt
Filed under: uncultured bacterium
Lineage: Bacteria
Description: partial 16S ribosomal RNA
Rfam family: Bacterial small subunit ribosomal RNA
Source: RNAcentral
AACGAACGCUGGCGGCAUGCCUAACACAUGCAAGUCGAACGAGACCUUCGGGUCUAGUGGCGCACGGGUGCGUAACGCGUGGGAACCUGCCCUUAGGUUCGGAAUAACUCCCCGAAAGGGGUGCUAAUACCGGAUAAUGUCUUCGGACCAAAGAUUUAUCGCCUUUGGAUGGGCCCGCGUUGGAUUAGCUAGUUGGUAGGGUAAAAGCCUACCAAGGCGACGAUCCAUAGCUGGUCUGAGAGGAUGAUCAGCCACACUGGGACUGAGACACGGCCCAGAAUCCUACGGGAGGCAGCAGUGGGGAAUAGUGGAAAAUGGGCGAAAGCCUGAUCCAGCAAUGCCGCGUGAGUGAUGAAGGCCUUAGGGUUGUAAAGCUCUUUUAACCGGGAUGAUAAUGACAGUACCAGGAGAAUAAGCUCCGGCUAACUCCGUG